This 257-nucleotide ribosomal RNA is filed under the name uncultured bacterium. RNAcentral describes it as "partial 16S ribosomal RNA". It matches the Rfam family "Bacterial small subunit ribosomal RNA", at positions 524 to 776 of the family's 1533-position model. The record is from RNAcentral.
UACGUAGGGGGCAAGCGUUGUCCGGAUUUAUUGGGCGUAAAGAGCGUGUAGGCGGCCGUACAGGUCAGCUGUGAAAACUCGAGGCUCAACCUCGAGACGUCGGUUGAAACCGUACGGCUAGAGUCCGGAAGAGGAGAGUGGAAUUCCCGGUGUAGCGGUGAAAUGCGCAGAUAUCAGGAAGAACACCCGUGGCGAAGGCGGCUUUCUGGGGACGGUACUGACGCUGAGACGCGAAAAGCGUGGGGGAGCGAAACAGG